This 253-nucleotide ribosomal RNA is filed under the name uncultured bacterium. RNAcentral's name for it is "partial 16S ribosomal RNA". It matches the Rfam family "Bacterial small subunit ribosomal RNA", at positions 524 to 776 of the family's 1533-position model. The record is from RNAcentral.
UACGAGGGGGGCAAGCGUUGUUCGGAUUCAUUGGGCGUAAAGGGUGCGUAGGCGGCGCGGUAAGUCGGAUGUGAAAUCUCGGGGCUUAACUCCGAAACUGCAUUCGAUACUACCGUGCUUGAGGACUGGAGAGGAGACUGGAAUUUACGGUGUAGCGGUGAAAUGCGUAGAUAUCGUAAGGAAGACCAGUGGCGAAGGCGGGUCUCUGGACAGUUCCUGACGCUGAGGCACGAAGGCCAGGGGAGCAAACGGG